CCUACGGGAGGCAGCAGUGAGGAAUAUUGGUCAAUGGCCGGAAGGCUGAACCAGCCAAGCCGCGUGAAGGACGAAGGUGCCAAGCAUUGUAAACUUCUUUUGUCAAGGGACAAACUCAGGCUCGAGAGCCUGACCGAGGGUACUCGAAGAAAAAGCAUCGGCUCACUCCGUGCCAGCAGCCGCGGUAAUACGGAGGAUGCGAGCGUUAUCCGGAUUUAUUGGGUUUAAAGGGUGCGUAGGCGGGCUGUUAAGUCAGCGGUAAAAGUCCGGGGCUAAACCCCGGCGAGCCGCUGAAACUGGGUGUCUUGAGAUGGCGAGAGGUAUGCGGAAUGCGUAGUGUAGCGGUGAAAUGCGUAGAUAUUGCGAAGAACUCCGAGUGCGAAGGCAGCAUACCGGCGGGGAACUGACGCUGAGGCACGAAAGCGUGGGGAUCGAACAGGAUUAGAUACCCUGGUAGUC
RNAcentral lists this ribosomal RNA (459 nucleotides) under uncultured bacterium. Its description in RNAcentral is "partial 16S ribosomal RNA". It matches the Rfam family "Bacterial small subunit ribosomal RNA", at positions 338 to 795 of the family's 1533-position model. The record is from RNAcentral.